Haliotis rufescens (red abalone) is the source of this 293-nucleotide long non-coding RNA. RefSeq lists it as uncharacterized. The record is from RefSeq and is a predicted model, not a curated record. NCBI's taxonomy places the organism in Eukaryota, Metazoa, Mollusca, Gastropoda, Lepetellida, Haliotidae. The transcript is spliced from 3 exons.
UCCAAAGCAGCAGAGUACAAAACCUGUCAAACAUGCACAAGGGAAGACUGCUGUUGCUUCAUCGGGGCAUAAGGGAGGCACCCAAAUGACACCAACAGCAAUGCAGAAGAGACCUGCAGAUGCAGUACAGAGUGACAUGGCAAUGAAGGCAUUGAAGAAGUUGAGAUUAACGAAGUAAGUGACAUCAAUUACUGCUCUUUAUGAAACUAGUGUUGUAUACUUUUGGAAUUGAAACCAGACACUGCACUUUGCUUACUGCAAAAUGCCAUGAACAAAAGAAAAGGGUGAAAACA